CCCGACUGCUAUUUGGGUGAGAAUAAGCCAUGCGAGUUGAAUGGGAUACCUAGAGUUCCCAUAGCAAACUGCUCAGUAACACAUGAUCAACUUACCCUAUAGAGAAAAAUAACCUCGGGAAACUGAGGAUAAUAUUUCAUAAUUGAAUUGGCUUGGAAAAGUUUUUCAAUGAAAGGGAUAAACAAAAUGGUUUUUAUCCGCUAUAGGAUAGGAUCGUGUUCGAUUAUGGUUGUUGGUGAGAUAAUGGCUCACCAAGCCGAUAAUCGAUAGGGGCCGUGAGAGCGGGAGCCCCGAGAUGGGUACUGAGACAACGACCCAGGCCUUACGAGGCGCAGCAGGCGCGGAACCUCCGCAAUACACGAAAGUGUGACGGGGUUACCCAAAGUGUUCAAUAGAACUGUGGUAGGUGAGUAAUGUCCCCUACUAGAAAGGAGAGGGCAAGGCUGGUGCCAGCCGCCGCGGUAAAACCAGCUCUUCAAGUGGUCGGGAUAAUUAUUGGGCUUAAAGUGUCCGUAGCCGGUUUAGUAAGUUCCUGGUAAAAUCGGGUAGCUUAACUAUCUGCAUGCUAGGAAUACUGCUAUACUAGAGGGCGGGAGAGGUCUGAGGUACUACAGGGGUAGGGGUGAAAUCUUAUAAUCCUUGUAGGACCACCAGUGGCGAAGGCGUCAGACUGGAACGCGCCUGACGGUGAGGGACGAAAGCCAGGGGAGCGAACCGGAUUAGAUACCCGGGUAGUCCUGGCCGUAAACGAUGCAUACUAGGUGAUGGUACGGCCAUGAGCCGUAUCAGUGCCGUAGGGAAACCGUUAAGUGUGCCGCCUGGGAAGUACGGUCGCAAGGCUAAAACUUAA
Molecule: ribosomal RNA, 850 nt
Filed under: uncultured archaeon
Lineage: Archaea
Description: bacterial SSU rRNA
Rfam family: Archaeal small subunit ribosomal RNA
Source: RNAcentral